RNAcentral lists this small RNA (36 nucleotides) under Bombyx mori (domestic silkworm). RNAcentral describes it as "ovarian small RNA-11371". The record is from RNAcentral. Lineage: Eukaryota; Metazoa; Arthropoda; Insecta; Lepidoptera; Bombycidae.
ACCUGAAAUGACCACAAGUCGGUGGUCUGCGUAACC